Molecule: long non-coding RNA, 363 nt
Filed under: Homo sapiens (human)
Lineage: Eukaryota; Metazoa; Chordata; Mammalia; Primates; Hominidae
Description: HSALNT0339551
Source: RNAcentral
GGUAGAGUAUACUGUGGAUACACUAGACAAAGGGAUGAUUUAUAUCCUGGGCAGAAUGGAGUAGGACAGUGAAAGAUUUCGCCAACAUAUUCAGAAUAGCAUGCAAUUUAAAACUUAUUUUGAAGUUGGAAGAAGUGGCAAAAUGUGAAAAGCAAGAAGCAAGUAUUACCAGAGACACCUAUGAAAAAGAAAUCUUUCUGAAGAACAUUUUUAAAGUGCCAUAAUCUGUUCGCUCAUGGCCCAUAGUGUUGGUGAGGCCAACACUAUAGCUGCAAGCACUUACUUCAUUUAAGAAGUUUAUCGAGAGCUUUAUAAAUAAAUUCUGUUCUCCAUCUACUAUGCAAAUAAAACUGCUGUAUCUCA